Molecule: long non-coding RNA, 2290 nt
Organism: Papaver somniferum (opium poppy)
Lineage: Eukaryota; Viridiplantae; Streptophyta; Magnoliopsida; Ranunculales; Papaveraceae
Exons: 3
Source: RefSeq, a predicted model, not a curated record
UCUAAUAAGCUUUUUUCGUUAUUCAACGCCUGCUGAAGUGAGAAAAUCCUAGAAAGAGCUCUGUGAAAAUCAAAGUCACGAAUCGUACUCUAAUUUUCCGAUUGUAGUUCAGAGACAGUGAGGUGGUGGUUAGGAAGCCUUGAGUUAGUCAUUCACAGUAUGGAUUGGAGGUUAAUCGAAAAGGGGAUUUUGGUUUUCUUGACUGGAACUUAAGGUGUCUUUGGAUUCCAUAGGCGAGCUACGGAGGUUAAGGUUUGAGUUGUGAGUCGAGGUGGGAAUCCCCCCACCCCCCUAAGAUGUUUCCUCGCGGCCCUAAUGAUCCCGUUUACGGGUUACCCAAGUAAUGGAGGACGGAUGUUAUGCGGUACAAAUACAGUUGGGCCGUCGUCGUCUUCUAUAUGUCCAUCAGGUUUGUUUUGUUUUAUAGGAUCAUAAGAAUGUCGUUCCUUGUAUGAAGCCAUGAACGUCAGCGAGUAUGAUGAAGAAUUGGCCACUGGAAGCAAUGGAAUCAACCAUUGGAGGAAGUAAUCGACCUAGUCUGUUCUACGGGGUUGAUGCCUACGGUCGAAAUUUUUGCUCUUGGUUACGAAAAACCUCUUUGUUCCGCCUUUGUCGAGAGAUAUUAUGGGGAAACAGAUACUUUCCAUCUUCCGUUUGGCAAAAAGACGACAACUACAAAUGACGCGAAGUUCAUUACCGGGAUAAGCAUAAAAGAUAAGCCGUGAAGCACGAAGAGUACGCGAAAUAUCUUGAGUGGGACAAGAUUUACGCGUUCACCAAGGAUGUAUUCAAAUGGAUGAGCAUAUGACCAAGUCAGAGAUCCUAGUAGGAAAGGUAAAGCAUAUGAUAUUUCAUCUCUCGAAGCUGAGGGACAAAUUCAUGGGAACAAAGAAGCUUCGUGCUGAGGGGAAAGAGUUGACGCCGGAACGUAUCAUCACCACGACCGAUGCGUAUAUCCUUUACGUCCCGGGAGCUGUUAUCUUCCUCGACGUUUCCGGUGCCCGUGUGAGCACCAAAUUUAUUCAGUUGUUUCAACCAUUUAACAAGAUUCACAAAUACUCUUGGGGCACUGCCAUCUUUGCUGCAGGCAUGAAUAUAUUUGCACUUCCCAAUAUUUGCUCAAAGGGAUUUUCUUAACAAGGAAUGGGACCGCAUGCAUUAUGGAGACAUGUACACCUACAAAAGUAUUUUUGGGAAAUAAACGUUUUUUGAAGAAUCAUCUCGAAAAACUGCUAAAGACAUCCCGGAGGACAUUUGUUAAGCGGACCCCAGAUUUGGAUAAGGGGCAUCCAAGGUUAUGUGCAACCCAAAUUCAUUCUCGGCACCCAUGGAUAUGUAUAGCCCAAAUUCAUUCCAGGCACCCCAGCUAUUAAAGGAGCCCAUAUUUUGGAUCAGGGCACUUCAUCUCCUUUGUUUGAAUUUCAAAAUUGGCGGGAAAACUUUGUGUGAAGCAGGCAGAAUUAGGAUUGGAGUUUUUGUGCGAUUCAGUGAGACUCAAUUGAUUGGGAAGACUUGUUUCAGACUCACAGACCUGGUAAGGUUUCCGGAAUUGAUCAGAAUUGGCUGAAUCAUCAAGUUUGAGUGAAUCAGGAAGUCACGGCUUUUGCUUAAGAAAACCCGAGAAUUGUUGUUUUCAAUUUUGGAGAUUGUUGGAGUGAUUAAAUCACUCAGGUGGAUUGGGACGGACCUGUUAGUCCAAGACAGGCGAGGUAUGUUCACCAGAUUCGGAAAAUAAGGGAUGAUUUACUAUUUUUUGGAGUAAACGGAGCACAAGAUAUACUCGGGUUUCUGUUGGAUGAGUAUGUGGAGAUUAUGUAUCUGGAGUGUGUAGCAAUCCCCGUUUCAUGAGUUUUCAUCAAUACUGGAGAGUUUUACUAUGAUUUGGAAUGUGCCAGCGACAAUCAGACUCGUGGAGGAGAUAAAAAUGGAAACAAAAUAUUCUUUCUUCACUGCCGAGUAAUGGGAGGAUUAUAUGCAAUUAUGACGUGAUAUUUCGGGGAUGUUUCAUUAUAAAUAGACGCUGGGAGUCAGAGAAUGGGUACAAAGUGACUGGGAGUAAUAGAGAGCAAAGAAUAGAGUUGAAGCCAUCGAAGAACAGAACACAGUCAUAUACCACAGUUUUUGGCUGUCAUCUAUUCUUCACCUUCGUAACAGUACUUUGUAACAACCUUGAAGUGUGAUAAUAAACCCUGUAACAGCUAUAAGCCGUUGCAACCCUCUAUUUUCUUAUAUAAUCAUCUUGUAAGCCCUUUGUGAGCAAUGAAAAAUCAUUUUCAGCGUGUUUCCAAUA